Molecule: long non-coding RNA, 9476 nt
Organism: Parus major (Great Tit)
Lineage: Eukaryota; Metazoa; Chordata; Aves; Passeriformes; Paridae
Exons: 3
Source: RefSeq, a predicted model, not a curated record
GAGAAAGGAGAAAAGGCAGGUUUCCUCCAGAACCUCCUGCCUCACCAAUUCUCACAUGAAAAGUCUCUGGAUUUCUCUUUUAUGAGUAACUAUAUUACUUCCCUCAGUGACAAGUGUUGCAAAUUGAGUAAAUACUAGCAAGAAAAAAAAUCAUUUAAAUUUUGACACCUCCUCCUCUAUUAAUUCACGAGUUCCUUCCUCGUUUAGCUUGCCAAGGAAGAACAAAAGAAGCGAGGCAGCCAUAAGGGAAAUACCGCAAAGGGCUGAGCAGUGAAGAGCCUGGUGGCAUUUCGCAUUUCGCAGACAGACAUUAAACAUCUGCUGCCUUUCUGCUCAGCCGGCAGCCACCCCGGCCAGGCGCGGCACGCUGGGGACAAGGCAGCUCACAGCUUCCCACAGCGUGUUCUCCCCGCAGCGCUCUGUAACCUUGGCGGGGUCAGCCGCGGGUAACACAAACGUUAGGGCUAAAAGCCGUGAUUUAAAAUAUUAUUCCUAUUAAGGUCCUCCAUGCCAGGGGAGGCGGGCAGGGCAGGGCCCGGCCCGGCGCGGCCCUGCCCUCAGACGGUUCUAGAAACUGCUCGGCCGAUUCCCCUCGGCGGUCCGCACCCAGCCGGCCGCUACGGGGGCUGGAAGUGCCUUCCUGAGGGAAACCCCCGGGACAACGCCGGGCUGCCGGGGAGAGAAACCCGGGCACGGCACCCAGCCGGUUGUGAGGGAAACGCGAGCACACUCCCACGAUGCCUGUGAGGCAAGAUGGGCUCUAAACCGUGUUUUCUGGAGGUGCUGGCACAGAAGACGCCGCAGUUCCCAUCCCUUGUGGAGGCCGCCGGCUCCCCCAGCUCGGGCUGUGGCGGCUGUGGCAACCAAUGGCCGGAGGCAGCCGCUGCCCUUCACUGUUAUUAGCGGCAGGGUGAGCAGAGGAAAAUCAUCCCGGUUUUAAUUUACAGAAGGUUGCUGGAGGAGGGCACCCCGCGGGAGGAGAGCAUGGGAAAACUUUAGAUUGAUGAAUAGGGAAAAGUUUCUGCAGCAGCGCUGAUCGGCAGCCAGCAGUGGCUGCUGGGAGCUGAGGUGACCUUUAGGAGGAGAAAACCCCUCCGCAGCCAAAAAGGUGGCAGAUGCUUUGUGCAGGGAGGAAAGCUUGUGGCAGAGCCUGAAACUUAGAUUUCAGCUGGCAAAGAGAGCGGCUGAAGGGCACACGAGGCUGCUCCAGACACCUGAGGGAGGGCUCGGCUCCCCGCGGAGCGGCGCUGGAAGGCGCUCACCUGUCAGUGCUUUCUGUCACUUCACUGCACCCAAACGCCACCUGUGCCACCGCCUCCGAGCUCAUCCAGAGCCUGGUGACGGGGACUCUGAACACACCGUGUGCCCUCCCCGACCACAGGGCUGAUCUGUGUCCCUGUUGCGCUGCUCACGUUUCAGCCCUGUCUCCAUGAGGUGCGGUGGCUGACAGGUAUCCAAGAGAAGGUGAAAUUUAGGAGGAUGACACAAAAUGUGUCAGGGAAACUUGCAUUAGUCCUUAUCAUAUCAGCCUUUCCUUCUGUGCCACGGAGAUAACACACACAUCUGCUGCUCAGAGAGGAGGCCACUCAGGGGCUGUAAUAUUUUCCAGAACAGAUAUCCUUGAGAUGACUUGCCAGCUGCCAGCCAGCAAGCACAAGCCAUGUGCACUGCUUAGCCAGCCAGCAGCCCAGACAAAUUGUUUCCCAAGCUCUGUAAUGCCAGGCUGAAACGGGGAAAAUGUGAGUAUGAGGCAGAAGAUUUACAAAGCAGGAAAACAAACGGAGUCAUACGAGUCCUUCAUCCUGGGUCACAUCCCUGCUUCGACAAGGUACCAUUUAACCUCACACUGAACCUGAUUUCCAUGGGCCAUGGGAACAGUUACAUAACAAAGAACAGUUGAAACACAAAUAGACAAAGAUUUUAAAAAUCAAAGCAAAGAUAAACUGUUCACUGUUAUUUAAAAAAUUUUUUUUCACAGUAGCUUACCUUGAACUAAAUACUAUAAAACUACAACUUUAGUGUUACCAUUUAUCCAUUAGUACUGAUAUUGAGUAGAUAACUUCUUUAGUAUCCUUUUACUCUAAAUAAUUUUAAAAUAAUGAAUCUUGAGGAAAAGCUUCAGCCUUAAGAAUAUAUCCGUGUAGUAUGGCUUUAUACUUUGCAGAACUGUAUCAGUAUGGGGUCGCCCCUUGCACAGCCAGGGAAUUCUCAGCUUUGACAUUUCUCUGCAGGACACAGUUGCUGUUUCAUUUUCUUAAUAUUGCAAUUAAGGAUUUUUCAAACUAUUCCUGAUGGCAUAGUCAAAUGUACUGCACAGGUUUUUUUUUACCUCUCUGAGUGAAAAACAUCAGUAUGCUAAUUGUAGGAUGCUACACAUUGAAGACAACGUAAAAAUCUAAACAUGUCAGAUGUGCUCCCUCUUCUUGUCCUUAUACAAAUGCAUAAAAUUCCCUCACAUUCCAGCUCAGUUACAUCUAAAUGGAACAUUGCAUUCUGUUUAGCAAUAUGUAAAAUAAGAUGAUAACUCAUAAUUCAAAAUCCAAUCUCACCUUAAUGUGGUGGUAAUAGAAAACUGCUUUUAUCCCCUUCAUCACACAGAUGUGCUAUGUGCCUUUACAGUGUUACAUGUGAUGAAAUUUUGCAGCUACAGAGGAAUCCAAAUUCAAUAGAAAAUGUUAAUCAGAAAGAAGACUGUAAUGGUCUGUGCAGUAAUAAAGACUGACCAUGGUUCUUCAUUAAGUUUUUCACAGAACUCCUCCUUGCAGAAGAUACUCAAUGGCAGGAGAGUUCUGGUGUGAAGUUCAGAGCCAAUAAAGAGCACAGAGAAGUUGAAAAAUCUAUAACUGUGUUGGACCUUACGCAGCUUGCAGACUUUUUUCCCUAUAAAUUGACUCUCUUACUCAUCUUAUUCUAUUUUGGUAAAUCAAAGGAUGACUCAUAGAAAAUCAGAAUCCAGGCACAACAAAGAUACCAUAUAACGAGUCAUUUAGUUUAUACUGAGAAUGUUGGCAAACGUAUAUGUAUACAUGCUGACUGCUCCCCUGAGCAGUUCCUGAAGCCUUUACUGCUGCAUAAUCCUAUUUUACCUUAAUCAAUUGCACUGUGACAUUAGAUUUUAAAAUAGGAAGGUUUGCUUAUGGUAAUAAUGCUGUACAGCUGACUCAAGAAUAAUUAUUAUGGCUAAAAUUGUAAUUAAAGAUACAUGCCGAUUGCCCAAGUUACUUGUGCUUCUUAAGAACUAUUUAUUAAUCAAUUAAAGAAUGUUUUCAGACCUAUUAAAUUGAAAACACCAUUUCUUUUUAUGCCAGGCAUGUUCAGGGAAAAAUAACAACUGCAUUUUAGUUCUGAAUCCAGUAUUUGAAUAAGCUGGGAGAAGCACUAAAUAACAAAGCAAAAGUUGACAGAGCUCAGCUGUCACCUGGCUGACAUCUCGUGUCCACAUCACGGCCACAAAGCUGAAAUUGGUUUGGAUUUCUCCUGCUGUUUUUUGUCUGGUCCUGCUCAUAUGUAACAGUGGCAUUUCUGAGCAAUAACCAAAACUCUGUAUUACAUGAGAAACUGGAGACAUGGUGCAAUAUAUGGCAGAAGGUAAGACUGCUUUUGCUUGGCCUCUUCAGCAUGUUACAUAUUAAGAUAUAACAGAAUCUAUAUGAGCUUCAUAGCACACAGUAAAUGACAAUUUCUCCACAUUUGGAGAAUGGAGGGCAUUGCCCUCCAACCUGGCUGAUGAGUUUACAUAAAUGCUAAAGCCCCUCUCAUUGUACAUCAGGGCCUGCAGUAGAGGUCAUUGUGAGAGAUAGCAGAUGGGGUAAUCUGUUUUAAGCUGAAUGUUUCAUAUUCUUUCUCUCAGUUCUCUCAUAUCAAAGCACAGUCCUAAACUUCUUGCAGCCCCAGAACUCCAGACUGAAGAGCAAAAGCCUGUAGCCCUCAGAUGUUGCAACAAGCGGAUCAAACAUUCAAAAACAAUCUCUCUAGACCUUGCAAUGUAUGAGUUUGUCUUUUCUAUUCUAUUCUGUUUGGGAAGUUCUUAAAUUGGUGUUAAAUUUGCACUAUCUGAGUACAUUUCUGAAUCAUGUUCUAUUCUUGUCCUGUUCCCUCAAAAGAACUGAUCUAUGCUGUAGCAUUUUGUUUGGGAAUUUGGCUGAUCUUAGAGGUGUUUGUACUUUGAGAUUCUAUACUUAAAUCAGAAACCACAGAGAUUUUUGAUACUACAGUUUUGGUCUGAACUCCAAGAAUUGUGAGUCUCUGUUUUCCCCAGGAGUACAGGAAGGAAUGUUUAGGAUCAUGCUGUUUGCUUUUGAGCUUGUACCCCAAGCAUUGGUAUCAUGACCAACUUUUAGAAUUGCCUUCUUACAGUGCAUUCCUCUCAUUUUUUCUAAGAGGAGUAAAUCUCUUAUAUCUGUCAUGAAAACAUCCUGUGGUGGUUUUUGUCCACCUUAUGGACAGCUUCACGCAUUAUCAAAUACUUCUAUAUGGGCAGAGACCCAUUCCUUUUGAAAAUGCUAUAAAACUAACUUGAGCCUGAGUACAGGUGGAAGGUUUCACAGAGUUCUUCCUCUUAAGGAGCAGUCAAAGAGCUGCUUCCACCUUACUGACUAUAUUAUUUCAUGUAUUAACACCUCCAGCAUCACUGCCCUCUCUCCUGGUGGCCUGCCCCUUAUACAGACUGAAAGUGGGUCAAGGACACACUGAAGAAUUACAAUUCUAAUCAAUGUUGGAGUCAAAAAUCCAGCACACUACUGGAUAUGGACGUCAUUUGACACAGAAAAUUACAGUCAGUGUAUAAACAAAUAAAUAACAUGCACAAGUGUGUAACAGAAUUUCAUGCUUUAGCACAGAUAGGCCAUGAGCAGAGGGUGAAUUUCUAAUUAAGAGAAUUGCUAUGGUAACCAGAGGUGGUCACAGAUAAUUGGGUGUGAAACCCCAUGAGACUUCAUGACAGAGGUGUCUGCAUAUAUUAUCCAGCACACUUUCUGUUUCUUAAAUAGAACUACAUUGUCAGGUCAAACAAUAUUUUUCGUAUUUUAGGUGCCUUCUUUUUGAGCAACUGAAGUGCAACUCGUAAGGGGUCUCUGUUCUUUAAAUGGUAUCAGAACAGUCCAUGUGCAAGGCCAAACUGGAGGGAGGAUUCUCAGCCUUAGCUUACUCUUAAUGGUGGGUUAAGAAGAGAGGUGUUUGACUACAUGUUUGCUAACCCACCUGAAUGGGACACAGAAGAGAGAUGACUGCCUGUGUUGGCAAAGCAGAACCAUCAGGGACAGAGGAACACUGCUCCUCACAGUGGGACUGUGCACACUGUCCAGCCUCAUGAUUGCCUUGAUACUGCAUUGUCUUAGUUAAAACAGUUAUUAUGUAAAAUUGGUAUUUUGUUAUCACAAUUCAUGGGAUAGUAAAGGGAUAAUCACAGAAGCUGAGUUAUUCUGUGCAACCCAGACCAGUAUGAUCAGAGCAGAGGGGAUGCUUAAAACUCACAUUACAUGAGCACAGUAACACCUGCUUCAGCAACCAGUUGUGAUUAAGCAAAUUUACAAAAAUUAUUUACCAACUUAAGUACUUUUUAUUAGAUAGUUUUGAGUGUUAUCUUAGCUAAUUAGAUAUGUGAUGAAUAAUAUAUUAUCUGUGUAAUGAACCGUGAUGAAGAUUAAAGGAAAAUCUCAUUAUUUCAAAUUGUUCUUCUGGCACAAGAUUUCUAAGAUUUGUAUUUAAAUCUGUUUUUGAACAUGUGGAUAUGAAUGAAAGGUCAGCUCUUUGCUUUGCAAAUCCCCAUUUCUCUGUACCAGCUGCACUUAAAGGGCACAGAGUUAAUUCAGUGCAUCCAAUAUUCCUCUGGUCUGGAGGAACCCUGUGAAUUCUCAGGACAGGACGGAGUCAGAAAUGGGUAGGAUAAAUAGAUCAACUCCUGCAGAGUUCCACUACUGCUACAACUCAGAAGUUUUGAAACUCACUUCUUUUGAGACCUUCAGGAUCUUUUAAUUUCCCUUAUAUUGGUGGUGGUUCUCAAGGUGCAUUGGUGCAUUGCAUUUCAAUGUUUCACAGUUUCUCUCUAACCAAGGAGUCCAUUAACAAGCCUCAACACAUUUUCCUGUCCCUGUUAUCAGCAAAAACAAGAACAUACCUGUUCUGCAUCUUUAAAUGAGGUAGUGGGUUAUCACUAGUCUCUCUGCAUAUCUCUGCAUAUCAGCCACUCUGAAGGUGCAGUCUGUAAACACAGUAGGGCAUUACAGCCAUCAGGAAUUAUCUGACAGAAAAAUUAUCAAAGGUAGUCAAAGCUCUUAGUCUGCAGUGAUAGUGCCAGUCUAUCUGUGUUCUGCUGUUUCUGCAUGUCCAGAUUUCCCAUUAAUUACAUCUCAGCAGGACUUCUGCAUACAGCAGUGUGGUCAAAGACAUUUUCAAUCCCUAAGGAAAAGCAGAGUAUCAUAGUGUACCCUCUGCCACGCAGGGAGGAGAACCCUCCCCAUGCUGAUUAAGUACAGCAGUUGACAGCAGAUGUUAUUUGUUAAUUACUGACAUAUCCAAAGGGUCCUAUGGCUUGACAGACUCGUUAACAGAUCCAUUACCCAUUUUGUUUUACCUCAUUAUGGAACAUAUGGUGGCAGUUUGAUAUAGUACAAAUUUAAACACUUUUUUAAUAUAUUCCUACAUUGAAUUCCUCACUCACUUUUUCUGUUGCUUCCUGAUGGGUCAGAACAUGUGCUUUCUUUUAUUUUCCUUUUUCCUAGUAUCCAGUUACCUUGUAUUUUCCAACACAGUACAACUGCUCAGAGGUACUGAUAUAUCUCAUCUGCCAAUUCACACUUUUUUUUCACCUUUAAAAAAUAUCAACCAGAUGGUUACCAAAAAUUAGUUAUAUCUAAUGCAUUGUUUGAAAUUAAAGUUACCACUGCAAAAAUGCCUAUCAUGUUUUUAACUGCUUGAAGCCAUACAUAUCACUUUGGGUGCACAAAGAACUGUGUGUUCCAUCCCUGUAUUAGACAAAAGCCCACUGAGAAUUUGAGCUGCUUCAAGAUAAAGCUGAGUGAGUAGCUAAAAUGUAUGCUACACAGUAUUACCGUGUAUCUAAAGCUCAGAUCUGAAAAGCAGAUCCUUCAAACUGCUCAGCAGCUGAAAUAUAAAGGACAUUAUAUUUUAUUUUAAUCUUACACUUAAGAAAUACACUUGUUUUUGUGCAUCAGUGGAAACAAGAUGUAUUUCCAGUGACAGAUGUCUGAGGUGUUACCUGCUUUGAUUGCUAGCUAGAGUGUUACUUAACUAUAUUAAAUUUUAUUUGCUUUUCUACUUCUCUAUAAACCUAUCUUCCCUCCUUGGGAGGCACCUGAAAAUUUUCUUAGGAACAGCAUGGCCAGCAGGAGCAGGGCACUGAUUGUCCCCCUGUCCCAGGCACUGCUGAGGUCACACUGGAGUCCUGUGUCCAGUCCUGGGCCUUUCAUGGCCACAACUGGACAUGGAGGUUCUGGAUCAUGCCCAGAGAAAGGAGCAGAGCUGGGGAGGAGCUGGAGCACCAGAUGCAGCUGAGGGAGCUGGGGGAGCUCAGCCUGCAGAAAAAGAGGCUCAGGAAGGACCUUCUCACACUCCCCAACUAACCGCAAGGAGGGUGCAGCCAGGUCUCCCCAGUAAGAGAAGGAGGGGAAAUGGCCUCAAGUUGUCCCAAGGAAGAUUUAGAUUGGAUAUCAGGAAUGAUUGCUUCACCAAAAGGGUUGUCAAAUCCUGGCACAGCUGCCAAGGGAAGGAGAGGAUUCACCACCCCUGGAAGGAUUUAAAAGUUGUGUGCACAUGGCACUUGGGGACAUGGGGUAAUGAUGGACUUAGCAGUGCUGGGGGAACAGCUGGAUUUGAGGAUCUUAGAGGUGUUUUCCAACCUGAAUGAUUCAAUGAUUCUAUAUAAAAUUGGGAAUGUUAAUAAACAUCAUUUAAUUUCCAACUAGAAACUGAAGUGUAGAAACUGUCAGUGUAAUUUGCACAUGUUGAAGCGUCUUCCUUCAUGGAUGAAUUAGCACUUGAAAAAAUCAGGAAUAAAAUGAAGAAAAAGCAAAAUACUUAUAAAAAUUAGGUAUUUAAAAUUAGAAUUAUCCUGAUUAAAUCUUUUCUUGCUACAUUCACUUAACCUGUAAAUAUUUUUCACAGAUUGAAGCUUUGUAAUAGCAAUAUGAAAUCUAUUUUAUAAGAGCAAUAAUUCCCAAAGAAAGGCAUUGUUUUUGACAACUCUGGCAAAUGUUACUCGGAAUGAUUAAAAACAGGCUUUUGUCAUGCAGAGUUCCACAGUAUCAUAGAAUGUUCUGAGUUGGAAGGAACCCACAAGGAUCUUGGAGUCCAACGCUUAAGUGAAUGGUCCAAACUGGCAUCAAGUCCACAAAAUGUUGAUGGUGUAGAACUCACACUGAGUGAAACAAAGCCUUGAUGUACCUCAGCUGAUUCUGAACAAUAUGCAGCACCAGGAAUAAAAUUAAUCAUUAAAAUAUUAUUAAUAGGAAAAUGGAGUAGUUAAAAUCAGAGCCAAAGCCCUUUGCAAGGGUCAAUUUGUCAGACAUGAAUUCUAGAAAACUGGGGAAGGGCAGAUCUUAGUGAUCCAAUGGAGAUCCCAAAAACAUCAAAAACUCAACACAAGCAGGUGUAAAAAGUGAAUCUCCAAGCAAAGAGCUUCCCACAGAAAGACCAAGCCCAAGGUGCCACAGGCUUGGUAUUUUAACAAUGUGCAAGUGCAGAGUCUCACCCAGAGCACAACAUCUUGCUCAGCACAAAGCUCUGAAGGCAGGACAUCUGUUAAUGAGGGCCCACGUGACUGAACCAAUUACAAGCUGCAUAUGAGUAAGGCUAGAAGGUGACAUUAAAAAUAAAGACAUCAGGAAUGAUGGUGUAUGGAUAAGGUAUAUGCACUUGCUGAGCAUCUUUAAAAUACUGGGAUAUUAAGAAAUGUUGGAAAUGGCAUUGGUAUCGUUGAAUUGGAAAUAAAUAUAAAGUUAUCACCAUGGUUCUAACAAAUCUCACAUAAUAAAAGCCUGCUGUCCCAGUGCAGGUCAAAAAAUGUCAAGAAUAAUUCAGAAAAUAGGCAUGACACACACAAUCUGCAUGAAGAUUUCUAGAAAAAAAUCAAGCACGACUUGCAAUAUAUCAAAAUGUCAGCUAUCUAUUUUAAUUUUGGGAAUACAGUAAGUUCACUCACAAUACUUAAAAAGUCAUUCAGAAAGACUGAAGUGCAGUAGCAAAAGUCUUAGUCUAAACAUUAUUUUAAAAAUGUCUUUGCUCUUUCUUCUGACAGAUCGUUUGUACAAAGCUUUUUCCUUAUUUCCUUAAAAUUUCUAGGGAAAUUUAAAAAAAAAACAAAAACAAACAAACAAGCAGUAAAUCUUCCACAGGUCCUUUCCUGAAAAGAAAAACUUUAAACUCUGUAGGCCCACACAGAAAUAACAAACUGUUGUAAUUUUCCAAACAGAACCUGAAGCUUUGCCUGGAUGCCCAGAAAGAUCAGUGGUCCCUUCCAA